This 253-nucleotide ribosomal RNA is filed under the name uncultured bacterium. RNAcentral's name for it is "partial 16S ribosomal RNA". It matches the Rfam family "Bacterial small subunit ribosomal RNA", at positions 524 to 776 of the family's 1533-position model. The record is from RNAcentral.
UACGUAGGGUCCGAGCGUUGUCCGGAAUUAUUGGGCGUAAAGGGCGCGUAGGCGGCCUGCUAAGUCGAUCGUGAAAUCCCCGGGCUUAACCCGGGAACUGCGACCGAUACUGGUUGGCUUGAAUUCGGGAGAGGGAUGCGGAAUUCCAGGUGUAGCGGUGAAAUGCGUAGAUAUCUGGAGGAACACCGGUGGCGAAGGCGGCAUCCUGGACCGGCAUUGACGCUGAGGCGCGAAAGCCAGGGGAGCAAACGGG